GACGAACGCUGGCGGCGUGCUUAACACAUGCAAGUCGAACGGUAAGGCCCUUCGGGUACGACGAGUGGCGAACGGGUGAGUAACACGUGGUGAUCUGCCUGCACUUCGGGAUAAGCCUGGGAAACUGGGUCUAAUACCGGAUAGGACCAUGGACUUCACAGUUUGUGGUGGAAAAGCUUUUGCGGUGUGGGAUGGGCCCGCGGCCUAUCAGCUUGUUGGUGGGGUAAUGGCCUACCAAGGCGACGACGGGUAGCCGGCCUGAGAGGGUGUCCGGCCACACUGGGACUGAGAUACGGGCCCAGACUCCUACGGGAGGCAGCAGUGGGGAAUAUUGCACAAUGGGCGCAAGCCUGAUGCAGCGACG
This 364-nucleotide ribosomal RNA is filed under the name uncultured bacterium. RNAcentral's name for it is "bacterial SSU rRNA". It matches the Rfam family "Bacterial small subunit ribosomal RNA", at positions 28 to 396 of the family's 1533-position model. The record is from RNAcentral.